Molecule: ribosomal RNA, 491 nt
Filed under: uncultured bacterium
Lineage: Bacteria
Description: bacterial SSU rRNA
Rfam family: Bacterial small subunit ribosomal RNA
Source: RNAcentral
AGAGUUUGAUCAUGGCUCAGGAUGAACGCUGGCGGCGUGCUUAAACACAUGCAAGUCGAACGAUGAAAGCGGGAGCUUGCUCCUGCUGGAUUAGUGGCGAACGGGUGAGUAACACGUGAGUAACCUGCCCUUGACUCUGGGAUAAGCGUUGGAAACGACGUCUAAUACCGGAUACGACCUUCGGAGGCAUCUCCUGGGGGUGGAAAGAAUUUCGGUCAAGGAUGGACUCGCGGCCUAUCAGCUAGUUGGUGAGGUAAUGGCUCACCAAGGCGACGACGGGUAGCCGGCCUGAGAGGGUGACCGGCCACACUGGGACUGAGACACGGCCCAGACUCCUACGGGAGGCAGCAGUGGGGAAUAUUGCACAAUGGGCGCAAGCCUGAUGCAGCAACGCCGCGUGAGGGACGACGGCCUUCGGGUUGUAAACCUCUUUUAGUAGGGAAGAAGCGAAAGUGACGGUACCUGCAGAAAAAGCACCGGCUAACUACGUG